Molecule: long non-coding RNA, 856 nt
Organism: Homo sapiens (human)
Lineage: Eukaryota; Metazoa; Chordata; Mammalia; Primates; Hominidae
Exons: 6
Source: RefSeq, a predicted model, not a curated record
GUUGGAGUGAGAUUGGACAGAGCGUGGCUGAAGCUGACAGGAAAGAGAUUAUGCAGGUCUAAGGAGAACUUCCUUGGGAAGCAACCAAGAAUUGUCUUGAGACAAUAACAUUCCAGAAUUAGGUUUUGGGAGAGAGUGUCAAAAUCUCAUUCUAAUGGCUGAACAAUUUUAUCUGGGAAGAGAUGUGGCCAACUUUCUAGGGCUGACUUUGAUCCAGUAGAACAUGUCUUUUACAAGCAUUUACUUUACCAACUGGGAGCUCAGUACCCUCCCCUGUGAAAAACACCCAGGCAAGUCCAAGUCCCACAGAGUUGUUGCAACAGAGGGAAAAACAAGUGGGAUUCCAUUCAGCUUGGCUCCUAAAAAGAUCCUUAUUGGUGCUUGUGCCUGUACUACUAAGAGAGUUGUGGAAACCUUGGAAUGUGCCCAGAGUAGAGCAAUGGAAAUGAUUGGGAAAGAGGAUCUAUGAGAAAAGGCUCAAAGAAUUGAUAUGGGUGUAGAAAUAAAAUUGUGUGGAAUUACAGAUAAACUAUUUCAGGAGUAUGAAGUUAAACAAACAAGAGAAGAUGAAGGAGGAAAAGAAGAAGAUGGAGGAGGACAAAGUUUUCAGAAGUGCUUAUUAGAGCUAUUACAUGCCAAAUAUCUACUCUGUGGGAAAAGCAAAUUUCACAUUUUUAUCAACUCUGUAUUCACACAUCUGAUCAAGAGAUGUUAGAAGCCAGUUCUUGAGAAUGGCAGGACCACCUUGUGGACAUAACCUGGGUCGGUGAAUGACUGCACGGAGCAGAGUCCUACCUGUCAAGACGUCAGAUUAUGAUGUGAAUAAGCAAUAAACAUAUAUUUUGUUAACUCAUUA